AGCACCUUUAAAAACAGUCCCGUGAGGCUGGCAAGGUGAACGAUGAAUCGGAUUCUCCACUCGGAGCAUUUCCGCUGGCGCUGCCAUGCGUAGAAAUCUCCCUGGGACGGUUCUGUUCGGGUGUACACAUAACCUUGCCAUGACGGCAAGGUUAUUUUAUUU
Molecule: non-coding RNA, 162 nt
Organism: Paenibacillus mucilaginosus 3016
Lineage: Bacteria; Bacillati; Bacillota; Bacilli; Caryophanales; Paenibacillaceae
Source: Rfam